RNAcentral lists this ribosomal RNA (253 nucleotides) under uncultured bacterium. Its description in RNAcentral is "partial 16S ribosomal RNA". It matches the Rfam family "Bacterial small subunit ribosomal RNA", at positions 524 to 776 of the family's 1533-position model. The record is from RNAcentral.
GACAGAGGGGGCAAGCGUUGCUCGGAAUCACUGGGCGUAAAGCGCGCGUAGGCGGCUUUGCAAGUGCGGCGUGAAAGUCCUGGGCUCAACCUGGGGACGGCGCUGCGGACUGCAUGGCUGGAGUCCGGAAGAGGGUGGUGGAAUUCCGAGUGUAGAGGUGAAAUUCGUAGAUAUUCGGAGGAACACCGGUGGCGAAGGCGGCCACCUGGUCCGGCACUGACACUCAAGUGCGAAAGCGUGGGGAGCAAACAGG